UAAUACGUAGGUGGCCAGCGUUAUCCGGAAUCAUUGGGCGUAAAGCGCGUGCAGGUGGGUUCGUAAGUCGGACGUGAAAUCUCCUGGCUUAACCAGGAGGGGCCGUCCGGAACUGCGGGCCUUGAGGUCGGGAGAGGGACGUGGAAUUCCCGGUGUAGUGGUGGAAUGCGUAGAUAUCGGGAGGAACACCAGUGGCGAAGGCGGCGUCCUGGCCCGCACCUGACACUCAGACGCGAAAGCGUGGGGAGCGAACGGG
RNAcentral lists this ribosomal RNA (256 nucleotides) under uncultured bacterium. RNAcentral describes it as "partial 16S ribosomal RNA". It matches the Rfam family "Bacterial small subunit ribosomal RNA", at positions 521 to 776 of the family's 1533-position model. The record is from RNAcentral.